This 437-nucleotide ribosomal RNA is filed under the name uncultured bacterium. RNAcentral's name for it is "bacterial SSU rRNA". It matches the Rfam family "Bacterial small subunit ribosomal RNA", at positions 55 to 518 of the family's 1533-position model. The record is from RNAcentral.
AUGCAAGUCGAACGGGAUCCUUCGGGAUCCAGUGGCGGAAGGGUGAGUAACACGUGAGCAACCCGCCCCCAAGGCCGGAACAAGCGCUGGAAACGGCGUCUGAAACCGGAUGAGGAUCUCCACCGCAUGGUGGGGCGUCCAAAUAUUCAUACCCUGGGGAUGGGCUCGCGGCCCAUUAGCUUGUCGGCGGGGCGACGGCCCACCGAGGCGACGACGGGUAGGUGGUCUGAGAGGAUGGUCACCCACACUGGGACUGAGACACUGCCCAGACUCCUGCGGGAGGCUGCAGUCGAGAAUCUUCCGCAAUGGGCGCAAGCCUGAACCGGAGCGAUGCCGCGUGAGGGACGGAGGCCUUCGGGUCGUGAACCUCUGUCGCCCGGGACGAUGAUGACGGCACCGGGAAAGGAAGCCACGGCUAACCACGUGCCAGCAGCCGC